AUUGAACGCUGGCGGCAGGCCUAACACAUGCAAGUCGAGCGGAUGAAGGGAGCUUGCUCCUGGAUUCAGCGGCGGACGGGUGAGUAAUGCCUAGGAAUCUGCCUGGUAGUGGGGGAUAACGUCCGGAAACGGGCGCUAAUACCGCAUACGUCCUGAGGGAGAAAGUGGGGGAUCUUCGGACCUCACGCUAUCAGAUGAGCCUGGUCGGAUUAGCUAGUUGGUGGGGUAAAGGCCUACCAAGGCGACGAUCCGUAACUGGUCUGAGAGGAUGAACAGUCACACUGGAACUGAGACACGGUCCAGACUCCUACGGGAGGCAGCAGUGGGGAAUAUUGGACAAUGGGCGAAAGCCUGAUCCAGCCAUGCCGCGUGUGUGAAGAAGGUCUUCGGAUUGUAAAGCACUUUAAGUUGGGAGGAAGGGCAGUAAGUUAAUACCUUGCUGUUUUGACGUUACCAACAGAAUAAGCACCGGCUAACUUCGUG
Molecule: ribosomal RNA, 483 nt
Filed under: uncultured bacterium
Lineage: Bacteria
Description: partial 16S ribosomal RNA
Rfam family: Bacterial small subunit ribosomal RNA
Source: RNAcentral